AACAGCCUGCCUCAGUGCGUGAUAGUCCGCAGCAGACAGUCACGGUGAAAUAUAUAUAUAUAUUUUAUGUUAAAUGCUAUGGUGGCCGUGAUGUGACUUAGAAGUAGGCCGCAACCAAUACAUUUUCAAUCGCGACAAUGUUUUCAAAGUAUCCCAAUUUCAGAAAAACUGCCGAAAUGGCAACCAUGUUUGCGACAAUUUCCCGCCGUUUCAACCCCCCAAAAAGGAUAUCGUCUUUUUGAUAACACCUGCCCGAAAGACAGACACGUGAUGUUGAUUGAUACAAGUUGGGUGAAGCAGGCCUAAUGGAAGACCAUCAAUCAGGUGAUCUGCCAAGGAAGGGGAGGACCAUAGCCCAUCGGUCAAACCCCAGAUCCUCGUCUGUCCUCCCUCAGCCAGGCAACUCCCACCAGCACAGCACAUGGCUCCAUACCCAAAGCAGGACACCCCACCAUCCUAAGACUAGAGCUUGUCCCAGGAGACCCCUAAAACCCAGAACCAGAGGGCUUCCAGUGCACAUAAGGUUAAAUGCCUUAAAUCCUCCUGUGCCCAGCAGAAGCAGCCCAGAGUACCCAAGCCUGGGGGCUCUGUCCAACCCGUGACCAUUAAUGUCAAGCUCCAACUGAGAUCCCAGCCCCAGAGACCAUAUACAUGGUCCCAGCACAGACACCAGCCACAGGCCCAGUGUCCACAGCCCUAUUCCAUUAAAACUCGAUCCUCCACCAAGACUCCCACCUGCCCUUCAACCAAACCUAAGCCUUCCAUUCCACCUAAAUCUAAUUCGCCCAAAACUGCCAACCUAAAUUCCAGCACAACACCUGGUACAUGCCCCCAUGAUACCCCCCCCCCCUGCUGGGGUACUGCCCCAAGAGGGAGAGGUGCCACCUGUACCACAUGAGGUACCCCUUCCACUGGCAGGUGAAGAGGACUGACAUCCCGGAAUGGGUCAGCCUGGAACCCAGCUCCCAGCUGAAAGCAGAACGUUGGUUCUGUGACCCUGAUAAGGAAAGGGUCAACCUGACACAUGGGUGAGUGAGUGGCACGACGUAGAUGUUGCCCCCCACCACAGAACUUCAGAUGACCCUGGCCUAUAUCCCGAUUUCUAACCAUGAGAAAAUGUCUGACCCUGUAUCAAUGGUAAGGGGCAACUUCUGCCUUAUCAGAGUGGGUAUAGUUAAGACUUGGGUUAAUUACUUGAGGUUGGAGCUUGCAGCUUUAGGAUUAUUCCAUUUGUUCCUUUUAAAAUGGGUAGCUGAAGUAUUUGACCCAGGUCUGAUGGUUAAUGGUAAUAUUAUGUGAAGUAAUGUAAGUUUUUCCUCUCUUAAUAAUCAUUCACAUUUGAAUGAAAAUAACUACUCCCUCAGACAGCUCUUCUUCUAGGACUCUCAAGGACCAACUCUGCCUGAACUUUGUCUCACUGAUGGUGGAGAAUUCCACUGUGUACAGCCAAGUCAGGAGGCUGUCCAACACCACUGGCCCAGAGCUGAACCCUCACUUCCCAACACAGUGGCGCUUCUGGGAAUCUGACUAUGGCUGGGAAGCCUAUGGAGAAGUAUCCCACCCACCAAACUGUGGGGAUUUUACUUCAUGUUUGGUGUGAGGAAGUGAAAGCCUACUGGCAGUCUCAAAUUUGACAAAGAUAUUUUCAUUUGUUUAGAGAAGUUGUUCUUAGCCCUCAGUCUGUAGAUGGCUUUCCUCUCCUCCUUUCCUUGAUGACCUCUGAUGGAUGAAAUGGAUUGCUAGAACAUGUCCUGACCUUUGAAGUGACCUAUGACUCCUUCGGAGUAGAUUGACUCUAAUAACAGAUACUGGAUCAGCUAUUUAAGCAAAUGUCUGAUUAAAUUCAGGGCUAGGGAAAUCUGUUUCUAGAUCUGUGGUUUGGGGCUGACUUCAUCCUCCUCCCCUGUACCACCUAGGAGAACCUUGAGCUCAUGCUGGACUGUCUUAGUAAGGGUCAGGACAGCUGCUGGCUGGGUAAAGACUGGGCCUGUGUAAAUCUCAAGAUGCUUACAGAGAGAAACUUCAUCAGACUCCACCCACUGCAUCAGAUGCAAACCCACCUUCCGCUCGCCAGACUCCCUAAGACAACACCUCAGGACACUCCCAGUUGGACAGGUAACCCUCCCCAGUCUUGAGGUGGAUCCUAUGCAGAAUUUCAGCUACCAUACCCACCGAUGUGGACCCUGAGUCAAGGGAACCCCUUUUCCAUGCUGGAGGUUCCUCCUGGGAUGCUGGUUUACAGGACGGUUCACAACCUGUUCCACAGAACCAUGCCAGAGAGCCAGGCCCAGGAUCACCAGCAGGUCCAGAACAUCUUCCAUUGGGACAAGUAUAGAAUGUACGACUUUCCUCGUAACAUUCAGCACUUCAAAUACAUCAAAUGGAUUCCAAUGGAGGGUUGUGUCUCGCAUGUUCCAUGGAACAGGUGUCUCUCCAGGAGAUUGUUGUUGGCUUUACACUUUUAUUUACAUUUUCACUCAAUUGGACAGGCAGUUAUUUGCGACACUGAAAUGUACUAUAACAAUAUUCAAUUUUUUGUUAUACAAUUAAUUAGGUCGAGUUCAAUACUCUUGUGGAUUGGUUUCUUUUGUUGCCUUUUUAAUUUAAGUCACUCAACAUUUAGUCUAUUUGUAGAACUAUAAUGAAAACAAAAUGUUAGACAUGUUCUUUCUUUUGGUAAAGGGCCCUCUGUGGAAGAAAUGGAUAAAGAAGUCACUGUUCCUAACUCAUUUUCUUCCAUCAAUUCUUAAGUUGUCUGUGUUCAAUGAGAAGUAAAAUAAACUCUUUCACUGAAAAUCCAUUCGAUGCAAUGCAUCACUGCUGAUCAUAGUCAAUAAACCAAUGUAAAUGGAUAGUUUUGUAGAAAUGAAAUAUUCUGAAACAGUUGUAGCCAAUGUGUAUAAAUUGUCGUUCUGAUUGCCGCUUCUGUGCCCUCUUGUGGAGAAAUAUCGUGGUCAUAGGUGAUUGAGUUUAAUUUAUCUAGUUGACAUAUCUUUUUUGAUGGUGUA
Molecule: long non-coding RNA, 3008 nt
Organism: Oncorhynchus gorbuscha (pink salmon)
Lineage: Eukaryota; Metazoa; Chordata; Actinopteri; Salmoniformes; Salmonidae
Exons: 3
Source: RefSeq, a predicted model, not a curated record